AUAUAGUAUAUAUCUAACUAUAUAUCACGGAUGUCGCUAUAAGCCUUGCGUGUUCAUGUCGCACGCGCAUGUAUCUGUAUCGUAAUUGUGUCCAAUACGGACGAACCAUCGACUCGCAUCGACGGUGCAUCCCAUUAUAUAUAUAUAGUCCGGCUACUAUUCUCUUAAGAGGAUAGAAGCCUUUGUCCUAUCAAGUCAUUUUAGAUGAUUGAGACUUCAAAUUACUAAUCGAUACGGUUGAUAUUGAUCUACACUAUUAGAAAUAUUUAGAAACUGGAUUUUUUUUAAUUUUUAAAAAUCAUUAUCAAGUCCAUCGAAGAGUCGAAAAAUGAAUGGUAAAAAACAAAUGACUUUCUGAAAACAGAGGUUAGACUUUCUCAAUUUACGAUCAGAGUUAUUAAACAUUAUCUAAAUAGUAUAAAGAAUUUUUUAUCAAAAAAUCAACCGGUUUGGAUUACUCUACACCGUUAAACAAGCAAACGGCUCAUAUAGACCGUCAAAAAAAUGUCAAUUUUGCAAUUCUUUGAUCACUAUGUAAAUAAUUUUUAAAAUUUAUAAAAUUUAGUUUCUAAAUAAUUCAAAUACUCUAGAUCAAUUUCAACAUUUUCGAUUAUCAAUUUAGGAUCUCUAUCAUCAAAAAUGAUUUGAUAGAGGGAUGUACGGUUGGGAUGAUGUGAGACUCCUAGGGUUGAGUAGAUGGUUGGUUGAAUAGUAUGACCUAACGGAUGAAAAUGAUCAAAGGGGUAGAUUUAACAGUAAAAAAUUUACAAACACCAAGUGUUUGGUGCUUUUACAAGCACCAUAGUU
Molecule: long non-coding RNA, 807 nt
Filed under: Ananas comosus (pineapple)
Lineage: Eukaryota; Viridiplantae; Streptophyta; Magnoliopsida; Poales; Bromeliaceae
Description: long non-coding RNA (ACOM_LNC005868)
Source: RNAcentral